This 448-nucleotide ribosomal RNA is filed under the name uncultured bacterium. RNAcentral's name for it is "bacterial SSU rRNA". It matches the Rfam family "Bacterial small subunit ribosomal RNA", at positions 28 to 477 of the family's 1533-position model. The record is from RNAcentral.
GAUGAACGCUGGCGGCGUGCUUAACACAUGCAAGUCGAACGGGAAAUAUUUUAUUGAAACUUCGGUCGAUCUAAUCUAUUUCUAGUGGCGGACGGGUGAGUAACGCGUGGGUAACCUGCCUUAUACUGGGGGAUAACAGUCAGAAAUGGCUGCUAAUACCGCAUAAGCGCACGGGGCCGCAUGGCCCAGUGUGAAAAACUCCGGUGGUAUAAGAUGGACCCGCGUUGGAUUAGCUAGUUGGCAGGGCAGCGGCCUACCAAGGCGACGAUCCAUAGCCGGCCUGAGAGGGUGAACGGCCACAUUGGGACUGAGACACGGCCCAGACUCCUACGGGAGGCAGCAGUGGGGAAUAUUGCACAAUGGGGGAAACCCUGAUGCAGCGACGCCGCGUGAAGGAAGAAGUAUCUCGGUAUGUAAACUUCUAUCAGCAGGGAAGAUAAUGACGGUA